AAGAUAAGGAUUAAAAAUACUGCCUGGAACAGAUGCAAAGUGAAAGUCGUACAGGAAUGGUUUAUGACACUCAGAGACCUGCUGCACCCAUGACCAAAACAUUUCCAGGUAUUUCCUCUAAACGUUCAUCAAGAUCAUGCGGAUGGUUGCAGAAAUCUGAAGCACUGCUGGAAAAGGGAGAGGACCAGAUGCUGGGAUCCACGCUCWCCCUGAGCAUGUCUCAGAUACCAAGAAGCCUUAGAAAGGUUAUCACUGUGAUAUAUAUGAUGAGAAUACUACUGUGUCUGAGGCAUCCAGGAUUGAACAGCGACUGGAGGAUCAGGGAAGAGUUCUUUGGUGGAAGCUCAGUUAAGAGCAGACUGAGGUGAAUGAAGGUGUGGUAAUAAUUAUAUUGUCUUCUUAACUGAUGAUAUGUACUUGCUACAUGUCCCUUGGAUUCCCAGCCUGUCAGUCUUCCUGUUGUUUUCAGACAAUCAAAUUGCCUCGGUGACCAAAAU
This is a long non-coding RNA of Dromaius novaehollandiae (emu), 497 nucleotides long. Lineage: Eukaryota; Metazoa; Chordata; Aves; Casuariiformes; Dromaiidae. The record is from Ensembl.